GUGGAAACGCAUAAGCGACCAGUUCAAUGCUGUGGUUGGCUACCACAUCCUAUCGGACACCACAGCAGUUGCGUUUAAAAUGGGAAGAUCUUAAAAAGAAUUCCCGUAAACGCAGUACACAAAUACGUAUGAAUAACAUAAAGACUUGUGGCGGUCGUUCAUCCUACAUCCCCCCUGAUGAUGUGUUGGACAGGGUGGCUGCAUUGUUAGGAAGUACAGUAGAUGGGUUCACAGUAGCGUAUGGUGGUGAUGCGGAACUAAUACCAUGUGUCGGCAGUAUUAAUGGUGGUGGUGAUGAACAUGGUUUGGAGGGUGUUGCAGUUUUAGAUAAUUUAAUUGAUAAUGGUGCUGAGGUGUUGGAGUGUGAUAGUGGUGUUGAGGUGUUGAAAGAGUGUGUGGUCGAAGACACAGGGCCUUGCUCAGUCACACCACCUAAGCCCAAAAUUUUACACAUUCCCAAAGCCAGCGAUAAAUUAUUUUAUUAAGUUAUUUAUAUUUUCCCUUUGCAUAAUAUUGUUGUUGCCAAAGUGGGGUAGUUUAUCAAGUACAAAAGUUAUUACUUAAAAUUAGAAUUUAUCUUUCUUUACAACUACAAGUUGUAAAUUUUCUAAUUUUCAUAAAAUUGAAUAAAUUUCCAGAAGCUUGUGGCCUAGUUUAUUUCAAUUAUAGAUAGUAGAAAGAUUUUAGAGUUUAUUGUGGACUGAUAGACAGAAAAUGCAUGCGGAAACUUUAUUGUUGUCUUAAUACUUCAAAGUUAAGACGGGAAGAAAUGCACGUGGAGACUUUAUUCUGAAGGUUAAGUCUCCGCGAUAAUUACUAAUAUUUUUUCUUUAAUUCUUACUGGUUUCAAAAGAAAAUCAAAAUUUGAUGAGCACCUGGCAUCCAGAAACCAGGCAUUGGUAAAUUAUUAUAAUGUAAAAACUAAACUUUUAGAAGCAAAAUUUGAAAAUAUAGCGUUAGAAAAUAAAAAAUUAAAAUAAAAAAUUUAAAAACUUAAAAAUAUAAAUUAACUUUAUAUUAUAUUAUAAGUUGAUAUUUUUGUUUGUAUUUUUAUGCAGGUCUUAUAUUAUCUAUAUUUUUUUGUGUUAUAAAUAAAUACCUAAUUAAGUUAGCAGUUAAAAUGAUAAGUUUGUUCCAAUGUUUGUGCUAAAUAUAAAUAAUAGAUAAAUAUGUUCAUUUAUAAUAAAACGAAAUAACAAUUACAUACAAAAA
Bombyx mori (domestic silkworm) is the source of this 1212-nucleotide long non-coding RNA. RefSeq lists it as uncharacterized. Lineage: Eukaryota; Metazoa; Arthropoda; Insecta; Lepidoptera; Bombycidae. The record is from RefSeq and is a predicted model, not a curated record. The transcript is spliced from 2 exons.